CGUGUAGGCGGACCUUCAAGUCGGGUGUGAAAACUGGCGGCUCAACUGCCAGCCUGCACUCGAUACUGUUGGUCUUGAGUACAGGAGAGGAAAGCGGAAUCCCAGGUGUAGCGGUGAAAUGCGUAGAUAUCUGGAAGAACACCAGUAGCGAAGGCGGCUUUCUGGACUGAUACCGACGCUAAAGCGCGAAGGCUUGGGUAGCAAACA
RNAcentral lists this ribosomal RNA (207 nucleotides) under uncultured bacterium. Its description in RNAcentral is "partial 16S ribosomal RNA". It matches the Rfam family "Bacterial small subunit ribosomal RNA", at positions 568 to 774 of the family's 1533-position model. The record is from RNAcentral.